GAUGAAGAACGUAGCGAAAUGCGAUAAGUAAUGUGAAUUGCAGAAUUCAGUGAAUCAUCGAAUCUUUGAACGCACAUUGCGCCCGCCAGUAUUCUGGCGGGCAUGCCUGUUCGAGCGUCAUUACAACCCUCAGGCCCCCGGGCCUGGCGUUGGGAUCGGCGGAGCCCCCCGUGGGCACACGCCGUCCCCCAAAUGCAGUGGCGGUCCCGCCGCAGCUUCCAUCGCGUAGUAGCUAACACCUCGCGACUGGAGAGCGGCGCGGCCACGCCGUAAAACACCCAACUCUUCUGAAGUUGACCUCGAAUCAGGUAGGAAUACCCGCUGAACUUAAGCAUAUCAAUAAGCGGAGGA
RNAcentral lists this unclassified non-coding RNA (351 nucleotides) under soil metagenome. RNAcentral's name for it is "partial contains 5.8S ribosomal RNA, internal transcribed spacer 2, and large subunit ribosomal RNA". The stretch from base 1 to 120 matches the Rfam family "5.8S ribosomal RNA", at positions 35 to 154 of the family's 154-position model. The record is from RNAcentral.